This 253-nucleotide ribosomal RNA is filed under the name uncultured bacterium. Its description in RNAcentral is "partial 16S ribosomal RNA". It matches the Rfam family "Bacterial small subunit ribosomal RNA", at positions 524 to 776 of the family's 1533-position model. The record is from RNAcentral.
UACGUAGGGUACAAGCAUUAAUCGGAAUUAUUGGGCGUAAAGGGCGCGUAGGCGGAAGCGUAAGUCAGAUGUGAAAUACCAAAGCUCAACUUUGGUGCUGCAUUUGAAACUGCGAUUCUAGAGGAUCAACGGAGAGAGCGGAAUUCCACGAGUAGCGGUGAAAUGCGUAGAUACGUGGAGGAACACCGGUGGCGAAAGCGGCUUUCUAGUUUUUACCUGACGCUGAGGCGCGAGAGCAAGGGGAGCAAACAGG